UACGAAGGGGGCUAGCGUUGUUCGGAUUUACUGGGCGUAAAGGGCGCGUAGGCGGGCGAAUAAGUCAGGGGUGAAAUCCCAAGGCUCAACCUUGGAACUGCCUUUGAUACUGUUUGUCUUGAGUCCGGGAGAGGUGAGUGGAACUGCGAGUGUAGAGGUGAAAUUCGUAGAUAUUCGCAAGAACACCAGUGGCGAAGGCGGCUCACUGGCCCGAUACUGACGCUGAGGCACGAAAGCGUGGGGAGCAAACAGG
RNAcentral lists this ribosomal RNA (253 nucleotides) under uncultured bacterium. RNAcentral's name for it is "partial 16S ribosomal RNA". It matches the Rfam family "Bacterial small subunit ribosomal RNA", at positions 524 to 776 of the family's 1533-position model. The record is from RNAcentral.